GACGAACGCUGGCGGCGUGCUUAACACAUGCAAGUCGAACGGAAAGGCCCUGCUUUUGUGGGGUGCUCGAGUGGCGAACGGGUGAGUAACACGUGAGUAACCUGCCCUUGACUUUGGGAUAACUUCAGGAAACUGGGGCUAAUACCGGAUAGGAGCUCCUGCUGCAUGGUGGGGGUUGGAAAGUUUCGGCGGUUGGGGAUGGACUCGCGGCUUAUCAGCUUGUUGGUGGGGUAGUGGCUUACCAAGGCUUUGACGGGUAGCCGGCCUGGGAGGGUGACCGGCCACAUUGGGACUGAGAUACGGCCCAGACUCCUACGGGAGGCAGCAGUGGGGAAUAUUGCACAAUGGGCGGAAGCCUGAGGCAGCAACGCCGCGUGCGGGAUGACGGCCUUCGGGUUGUAAACCGCUUUCGCCUGUGACGAAGCGUGAGUGACGGUAAUGGGUAAAGAAGCACCGGCUAACUACGUG
RNAcentral lists this ribosomal RNA (468 nucleotides) under uncultured bacterium. Its description in RNAcentral is "partial 16S ribosomal RNA". It matches the Rfam family "Bacterial small subunit ribosomal RNA", at positions 28 to 507 of the family's 1533-position model. The record is from RNAcentral.